Molecule: ribosomal RNA, 459 nt
Filed under: uncultured bacterium
Lineage: Bacteria
Description: partial 16S ribosomal RNA
Rfam family: Bacterial small subunit ribosomal RNA
Source: RNAcentral
CCUACGGGUGGCAGCAGUGAGGAAUAUUGGUCAAUGGUCGGGAGACUGAACCAGCCACGCCGCGUGAGUGAGGAAGGUACAGAGUAUCGUAAACCUCUUUUGUCAGGGAACAAAGACUGGGACGCGUCUCCGGAUGCGUGUACCUGAAGAAAAAACAUCGGCUAACUCCGUGCCAGCAACCGCGGUAAUACGGGGGAUGCGAGCGUUAUCCGGUUUAUUGGGGUUUAAAGGGUGCGCAGGCGGUCUGUUAUGUCAGCGGUAAAAGCCCGGGGCUCAACCCCGGCCCGCCGUUGAAACUGGGAGUCUCGAGUUGGAGAGAGGUGUGCGGAAUGCGCGGUGUAGCGGUGAAAUGCAUAGAUAUCGGGCAGAACUCCGAUGGCGAAGGCAGCAUGCCGGCUCCACACUGACGCUGAGGCACGAAAGCGUGGGUAGCGAACAGGAUUAGAUACCCUUGUAGUC